RNAcentral lists this ribosomal RNA (443 nucleotides) under uncultured bacterium. RNAcentral's name for it is "partial 16S ribosomal RNA". It matches the Rfam family "Bacterial small subunit ribosomal RNA", at positions 338 to 795 of the family's 1533-position model. The record is from RNAcentral.
CCUACGGGUGGCAGCAGUGGGGAAUAUUGGGCAAUGGGCGCAAGCCUGACCCAGCAACGCCGCGUGAAGGAAGAAGGCUUUCGGGUUGUAAACUUCUUUUCUCAGGGACGAAGCAAGUGACGGUACCUGAGGAAUAAGCCACGGCUAACUACGUGCCAGCAGCCGCGGUAAUAAGUGGGUGGCAAGCGUUACCGGGAUGUACUGGGUGAAAAGGGCGUGUAGGCGGGACUGCAAGUCAGAGGUGAAAACCACGGGCUCAACCUGUGGCCUGCAUUUGAAACUGUAGUUCUUGAGUGCUGGAGAGGCAGACGGAAUUCCUGGUGUAGCGGUGAAAUGCGUAGAUAUUAGGAGGAACACCAGUGGCGAAGGCGGUCUGCUGGACAGCAACUGACGCUGAGGCGCGAAAGCGUGGGGAGCAAACAGGAUUAGAUACCCGUGUAGUC